RNAcentral lists this long non-coding RNA (559 nucleotides) under Taeniopygia guttata (zebra finch). RNAcentral describes it as "lncRNA (ENSTGUG00000022419.1)". The record is from RNAcentral. Lineage: Eukaryota; Metazoa; Chordata; Aves; Passeriformes; Estrildidae.
CUCGUCAAUGAGAGAAAUGAGAGAAAGGGGCUCCCUCUAUUCUGUGAGCAGUUGCAGGUACAAAGUUGGUCCAUGCCCCAGUACCCAUCUGUCUGAGCUAGGGGAAAAUGCAAGCUUGAACACUCAGAAUUUGAGUCCUGUGUCUCGGAGGCAGCCGCUCCUGUGAGAUCUUCCACAAAACACAGCUGCACCAGUCCUGCUGCCUUGCCAUGCCCAGCAGGAUGGGAGGGCUCAGGGAAAUCGGCUGCACCUUUACAGUGGAAAUUGCAAAACCUAUUAAAUUGUCUUCUGUCAUCAGUAAUUUUGGUUAUACUACUGAGCUCAACAUGAUUUUAAAGCAGAGAACUGGAGUCAAGCCUUACACAGCUUCCUCCUGAAACCUGGACUCCACAGCAGCCAAAACUAGUGAGUGGUGGCACGAUCACAGCUGAAUCCAAAGAGCUCCAACACACAGCACAUAUUGUAGUCAACUUUCUACAGGAUUAUGAGGAUUAUCUCCUAAAAAAAGAUCAAAAUAAGGCAGACCUUCUGAACAAAGGGAAAUCUCUAACUAGCAGUG